UGUCCGGAAAGAAAUCCUUUUCGAUAAUACCGAAGGGGGAUGACGGUACCGGAAGAAUAAGCACCGGCUAACUACGUGCCAGCAGCCGCGGUAAUACGUAGGGUGCGAGCGUUAAUCGGAAUUACUGGGCGUAAAGCGUGCGCAGGCGGUGAUGUAAGACCGAUGUGAAAUCCCCGGGCUUAACCUGGGAACUGCAUUGGUGACUGCAUCGCUGGAGUAUGGCAGAGGGGGGUAGAAUUCCACGUGUAGCAGUGAAAUGCGUAGAGAUGUGGAGGAAUACCGAUGGCGAAGGCAGCCCCCUGGGCCAAUACUGACGCUCAUGCACGAAAGCGUGGGGAGCAAACAGGAUUAGAUACCCUGGUAGUCCACGCCCUAAACGAUGUCAACUGGUUGUCGGGCCUUCAUUGGCUUGGUAACGUAGCUAACGCGUGAAGUUGACCGCCUGGGGAGUACGGUCGCAAGAUUAAAACUCAAAGGAAUUGACGGGGACCCGCACAAGCGGUGGAUGAUGUGGAUUAAUUCGAUGCAACGCGAAAAACCUUACCUACCCUUGACAUGUACGGAAGUCCGCUGAGAGGUGGAUGUGCCCGAAAGGGAGCCGUAACACAGGUGCUGCAUGGCU
This 622-nucleotide ribosomal RNA is filed under the name Paraburkholderia sp. RNAcentral describes it as "bacterial SSU rRNA". It matches the Rfam family "Bacterial small subunit ribosomal RNA", at positions 434 to 1050 of the family's 1533-position model. The record is from RNAcentral. Lineage: Bacteria; Pseudomonadati; Pseudomonadota; Betaproteobacteria; Burkholderiales; Burkholderiaceae.